This 551-nucleotide ribosomal RNA is filed under the name uncultured Paraglomus. RNAcentral's name for it is "SSU rRNA". It matches the Rfam family "Eukaryotic small subunit ribosomal RNA", at positions 548 to 1103 of the family's 1831-position model. The record is from RNAcentral. Lineage: Eukaryota; Fungi; Glomeromycota; Glomeromycetes; Paraglomerales; Paraglomeraceae.
UUGGAGGGCAAGUCUGGUGCCAGCAGCCGCGGUAAUUCCAGCUCCAAUAGCGUAUAUUAAAGUUGUUGCGGUUAAAAAGCUCGUAGUUGAAUUUCAGGCCUGGCUGGACGGUCCGCCCUUCGGGUGAGUACUGUCUGUGGUCGGGUCCUACCUUCUGGCGAAGCGUCAUGGCCUUAACCGGCCGUGGCGGGGAACCAGGACUUUUACUGUGAAAAAAUUAGAGUGUUCAAAGCAGGCAAUCGCUUGGAUACAUUAGCAUGGAAUAAUGGAAUAGGACAAUGGUUCUAUUUGUUGGUUUCUAGGACCGUUGUAAUGAUUAAUAGGGAUAGUUGGGGGCAUUAGUAUUCAAUUGUCAGAGGUGAAAUUCUUGGAUUUAUUGAAGACUAACUACUGCGAAAGCAUUUGCCAAGGAUGUUUUCAUUAAUCAAGAACGAAAGUUAGGGGAUCGAAGACGAUCAGAUACCGUCGUAGUCUUAACCAUAAACUAUGCCGACUAGGAGUCGGGCGAUGUUGAAAAAAUGACGCGCUCGGCACCUUAUGGGAAACCAAAG